GUAUUACUAUAUGAUAUAUCAUGUAUACGAAUAAUACUCAAUUUUAAAUAAUAAUCUUUAUUGAAACUAUUUCGUAGCAUUCUGUUUUUGUUCCCAAUGGAUGCAGUAUUUCCUUAAUAAACACUCGACAAUAAGAAAAUCUCGAAAUAAAAACAUGUGUUUAUAUUUCUCAACGCUCGUCCCCCUCGUCUGCUAAUUAAAUUUUUCUUCCAGGAAGUUUCGUGGCUGCGCGCAAUGCGGUCUUUAGAUUCAGUGUUUAUGUGUAUAAUUUUCAAGAUAAAGUGGCCUCGAGAGUAGUGUUGCGUUCGAUUAGUCAACGUGAAAACAGACUCACUUCUGCUACAUAUGUAUUAUGAAUUAUUUCCAAAGUGCACGUGGCUCUGCUUAAUUUUUCUGACUGCAAGCAUAAAGCUAGCAUUUGUUCGUCGACUAAUUAUUAUUCAUGGAUUGUAUUCACAGUUUAUUUUUUAUUUUUUUAUUUUUGAAAUCAUUGGUAUUAGAGCCAGUGCAACACUGAAAAGAAUCAUAUUGGACGAUUCUCCACGAGGAAAGACUAUUUUUGUCACAACCUUCUGAAUUUGUUGGAUCCUGCCUGAUGACUUCGCUAAUGACUUCCGUUGAAUUUUCUUUUGGGGUCAUAGUCCCUUACCAGACUUUCGUAGUAGUGUGAUCUCACUUAUUCUACAAUCGGUUUAUAGAUAAAUUGUUCGCUGAAAUGCUGUCAGACGUUAAGGAAGGAAGGGUAGGAAGAGCGUAUCUGGAUAUGAGAUCACUCGACAUCCGGUUCCACGUUGGCUGGAUGCAGAGAAUGAUCUGUCAAUGGGAAGUGCGUUAUCACAGUACGCGUGUCAACAUUUGAAUGCAAUCAGAUAUCAAGUUUCUAGCAAACUCGUCGUACAAGCAGGGUCGAAGAAACCACGAAGAGGAGUGUCCAUUUUUUCGUUUGCUGCAUUGAACGCAACAUCCGUUCUCCAGAAAGGACCAUGACAUCAGCUAGCGCUCCUUUUGCAACAGGAUUUCGUGUUCUCUCGAGAAAUUGUUACCUCGAACAGGCAACAUUGAACCAGCGCAGCGUAUAGAACUUUGUGAAUUGGAAGAAAAGUAAUGAUAAAUGCUAACAAUCUCGUCAAAACGACGACCAGGAUAAUCGAACGUGUUCGUUUCCACUUUACGAUCGCCAUAGCCAGACGUAUUCAAAGAUUUACGACGAUCAGUCCCAUGAAAUUUGCAUACAACUGGCCUGGAUAUCAGCAUUGUCGUUCGAUAUUCUUGAAUAAAUGAAAAAAUUGUCAGGAUAUUGAUUUUUAUCUAUAUUCUCUCGUUUUAUCAUCACACGUCUCUCCUACGUUUUUGGAUGUUUUGAACGUAUCGUUCCUCCUACAUCCAUUCGCAAAUCAAAUCUAUUUUGAUAGAACUAUGUAAAUAAUUACGCAAAGUUUUAAAUAAGACCGUUCCAUGAAAUUACUCGACGGUAUCAUUGAAUAUUGUUACUCUUCGUUGUGAAUUCAUUAUAAUUGCUAGGACACUGGGAGGCUUAUUUGAUAUCUAAAAUACGACAAGUUCUUCUUACACUGAUGGUUAAUGUAAUUUUAAUCGUUGCUGAUAGCCAAGCUAAUUUUAUUGACGUUUAGGACAGAAACUGAUAGGUUUGAUUUAUGAUACUUCCUUUGAUUAAUGAAAAUGGGGUUGAUGAUGAACAAUGUUCUUAUAUUGAAGGGUGAUUAAAUGUGAUUAACUAAUAUUGAAGUGAUGAAUUAAUUUUAAGAUCGGUUGAAUUUUUAUUUCAUAAGAAAUUUGUAAAUUUUGUGAUUAUGUUGA
Molecule: long non-coding RNA, 1818 nt
Organism: Osmia lignaria (orchard mason bee)
Lineage: Eukaryota; Metazoa; Arthropoda; Insecta; Hymenoptera; Megachilidae
Source: RefSeq, a predicted model, not a curated record